RNAcentral lists this ribosomal RNA (120 nucleotides) under Cycas circinalis. The record is from RNAcentral. Lineage: Eukaryota; Viridiplantae; Streptophyta; Cycadopsida; Cycadales; Cycadaceae.
GGGUGGCAUCAUAUCGAGGUUACUCCGCUACAUCCCAUCAAACCCUUCCAAUUAAUCGUGCUUGGCCUAGAGUAGUACAGACAUGGGUGACCUCUAGGGAGGUCCCAGUAUUGUACCGUG